Micropterus salmoides (largemouth bass) is the source of this 873-nucleotide long non-coding RNA. RefSeq lists it as uncharacterized. The transcript is spliced from 3 exons. The record is from RefSeq and is a predicted model, not a curated record. NCBI's taxonomy places the organism in Eukaryota, Metazoa, Chordata, Actinopteri, Centrarchiformes, Centrarchidae.
GUGUGUGUGUUUGCAUGUGUAAAUAUGUGUGAGUGUUUCUGUUUUUUUCGUGAGCAUGCAUGAGCUCUUCUUUGUUCCGUCUGCCAUUCUGGCCCCUGUGUAGCCGGUGUUUGCUGCACACUGUACGGCUGAAUAGGGACUGCGUGGGCCUGACCUGCGAUCUCACCGCCCACCACUCGCACAGACACACAGCCUGGGAAACAGCCUCCAUUUUAGCCUUGUUUCUACAUCCUCCUCAGGGGACAGCGAGGACUGCAGCUGUCCCUAUGACAACCUCAGUGCUACUGUCAAUCACUAUGGCUGCCUUAUCCUCCUUGGCUUAUAUACUAUACACACACAAGCCCAAGCUGCAGUGCUUCAUCCACGAGGAAGGGAACGACUUCAGACUGAAAUGAAUUGUACCUAUGCCAUCGUGUAAAUGAUCACAGCUUUGACUAUGCAAAUUCAGGGGCAGAAAGAAUGAGACGCAGUCCAGAGAGGAGGCUGAUUAAGAGAAUACAUCAACUCAUAUUCAGGCUCAAGGAUCAUCCAUGUAUUUGCUGAUGCUUUAUACACACCAGCCAGUCAGGGAAACAUGACAUGCCAUAAUUGUCAUACGAAAACCUUGUGUGAAAACUUUGUAUCUCUGUUUUUGUCUUGCAGUCACAACCAAAAGAAGGUAAUAUUCUGUAUUUUUCUUACUGAUAAAAAAUUAGAAGACAAAGAACAAAAGGAAUAAUCUAAAGUAUUCUAAGUAUUAACUGUGUGUCAAACGUGUAAUAUACCUUAUUUUCUGUGCUUCAGACUUCCAUUAUCAUCCAAAAAAUUUUUUAAAAACACAUCAAUGAGCCACACUGUUGCACUGGUGACAUGUUUUGUCAUUAUUGUGAGCAU